AUGAACCCACUGUUGCUGGAGAGAAGAAGCCACGACUGCUAUGAGAGGAGUAGACCAGGGACACUCCCACAAGGUGAAGGUGCCUGCAAUCCAUCAAACGCGACACUUGAGACGCCACCGACAAUAUCGAGAGCAACCUCACCGCCCAAGCGACAUGAGGUGAACACAACCGAUGUUGCCGAACUCUCGAGGCCACCACCUCGACCUCCACCAACAUACCACCUUCCGGGGCCGCCGUCCCGACAUACCACCGCUCUCUCUCGAGCUGCAACAUUGCAUGACUUAGUCACCCACAGCCCAGGCUGA
RNAcentral lists this ribosomal RNA (306 nucleotides) under Triticum aestivum (bread wheat). Its description in RNAcentral is "partial small subunit ribosomal RNA". The record is from RNAcentral. Lineage: Eukaryota; Viridiplantae; Streptophyta; Magnoliopsida; Poales; Poaceae.